RNAcentral lists this ribosomal RNA (1772 nucleotides) under Braunina cordiformis. Its description in RNAcentral is "SSU rRNA". It matches the Rfam family "Eukaryotic small subunit ribosomal RNA", at positions 134 to 1744 of the family's 1831-position model. Lineage: Eukaryota; Metazoa; Platyhelminthes; Trematoda; Diplostomida; Brauninidae. The record is from RNAcentral.
GCUACGAGGAUACUGUAGUAAUUCUAGAGCUAAUACAUGCCACUAUGCCCUGACCCGCAAGGGGAUGGGUGGAUUUAUUAGAACAGAACCAACCGGGGAUGGCUUCGGUCGUUCCUGUUGAAAUCUGUGAUGACUCUGGAUAACUUUAUUGAUCGCAGUCGGCCUUGUGUCGGCGACGAAUCUUUCAAAUGUCUGCCCUAUCAACUUCCGAUGGUAGGUGAUCUGCCUACCAUGGUGAUAACGGGUAACGGGGAAUCAGGGUUCGAUUCCGGAGAGGGAGCCUGAGAAACGGCUACCACAUCCAAGGAAGGCAGCAGGCGCGAAAAUUACCCACUCCCAGAACGGGGAGGUAGUGACGAAAAAUACGAAUACGGGACUCUUCUGAGGCUCCGUAAUUCGAAUGAGUACAAUCUAAAUCCUUUAACGAGGACCAAUUGGAGGGCAAGUCUGGUGCCAGCAGCCGCGGUAACUCCAGCUCCAAAAGCGUAUAUUAAAGUUGCUGCAGUUAAAAAGCUCGUAGUUGGAUCUGGGUCGUGCGGUCGCGUGCCGGCGCUCGUUCAUUUGGCUUGGUCUUUGAUUGGGUCAUUUGCUCGUGCCGGCAUCGUGGUCGUGCAGCCUUUCAGCCGUGUCUGUGAAAACAGGUGCUGGUUUGGCCGGUGAGUCCGCUCGCUAGCCUGUCAGUAUGCUUCCGGGUGCCUUUCACUAGGUGCCGGGGGCGGACGGCACUUUUACUUUGAACAAAUUUGAGUGCUCAAAGCAGGCCUGUGCGCCUGAAAAUUCUUGCAUGGAAUAAUGGAUAAGGACUUCGGUUCUAUUUUGUUGGUUUUCGGAUCCGAAGUAAUGGUUAAGAGGGACAGACGGGGGCAUUUGUAUGGUUGCGUGAGAGGUGAAAUUCUGUGAUCGCAGCCAGACAAACUACAGCGAAAGCAUUUGCCAAGAAUGUUUUCAUUGAUCAGGAGCGAAAGUCAGAGGUUCGAAGACGAUCAGAUACCGUCCUAGUUCUGACCAUAAACGAUGCCAACUGACGAUCCGCGGUGGUUCUUUAAUUGGCCUCGCGGGCAGUCCCCGGGAAACCCUUAAGUCUUUGGCUCCGGGGGAAGUAUGGUUGCAAAGCUGAAACUUAAAGGAAUUGACGGAAGGGCACCACCAGGAGUGGAGCCUGCGGCUUAAUUCGACUCAACACGGGAAAACUCACCCGGCCCGGACACUGUGAGGAUUGACAGAUUGAUAGCUCUUUCUUGAUUCGGUGGUUGGUGGUGCAUGGCCGUUCUUAGUUGGUGGAGCGAUUUGUCUGGUUAAUUCCGAUAACGAACGAGACUUUGACCUACUAAAUAGUGUGCCCGUCCUCUGUGCUCGUGCAGGUCGCGGUAUCUAUUGCCUCUCAAGGUGGUGGAGCCGUAGACCGGCGUGUGCGGUGCGGGUGACCACUUCUUAGAGGGACAAGCGGCGUUGCUAGUCGCACGAAAUUGAGCAAUAACAGGUCUGUGAUGCCCUUAGAUGUCCGGGGCCGCACGUGCGCUACAAUGACGGUGCCAGCGAGUCUGGAAACCUAGCCCGAAAGGGCCGGGGAACCUGUUCCAUCACCGUCGUGACUGGGAUCGGGGCUUGCAAUUAUUCCCCGUGAACGAGGAAUUCCUGGUAAGUGCAAGUCAUAAGCUUGCGCUGAUUACGUCCCUGCCCUUUGUACACACCGCCCGUCGCUACUACCGAUUGAAUGUGUAAGCUGAGGCAAUCGGAUUGGUGCCGUUAUAGUGACUUUGUCGCUUGACUGG